Molecule: long non-coding RNA, 998 nt
Organism: Populus euphratica (Euphrates poplar)
Lineage: Eukaryota; Viridiplantae; Streptophyta; Magnoliopsida; Malpighiales; Salicaceae
Exons: 3
Source: RefSeq, a predicted model, not a curated record
CACUGGAAUCGGCUAGGCUACUAGAUAUAAUGCUUCCACUCCGUACUCUGUAAUAAGAAGAACCAAGCAUCCACCGUAUAAGAGAAAGACCGUCGACCCCUGAGAUGAAAGAAGGAAACUUAGGUGCUGAACCCAGGCGGGGGCCCCGGAUAGGAGGUCAGUGUGUGAUCAGUUAGAUAGGGGAUCUCUUAACCAGAAUUACGGAAUGAGGACCGGGCCUGUACUCAUGGUAACGAUGGAAGGAAAUAUUUCGAAGACUUCUCAGUAGUGGAAGAAGGUAAUAUCACCUUGGUUAGGAAAAGCGCUUUAGGCUGGGCAAAGCCUUUAUUUUCUUAAUGGGGACCCAAUAAGUUCAGUACAUGUAAAGAUAAAUACAUCACCUCUCUCCUAGGCCUCUUGGGACUCUCCUUUGGCAACCCGUCGCGCCCUCGUCGCGGCGUUAGCAGCCAUUGACGAUGAAGACUAAGCGAGCCGGCCGGAGCAUAUGCUACUUUUUCUAAAUCGUGAACACCUUAUCUUUCUUCUCUGUCUGAUCCGCACACUCCAGACCUCGCCUCGGUUCUUGGCUUUGAUCCAAUUCCGAAGCUCGUUUGCUCACUAGCCGAUGUCAUUUUCAAUUGACUUAGUUAGAAAUGGGGAUACCGUACCACUUUAAAUUAAACAAGCGCCAGGAAAAUGGAGCUUACCGCGCUGAGUUACGUCGUAGGCGAAGCUUUCGAUUCGACAAAUGAAUGGUUGGUGCUUCCCUUCUUUAGCCUAUUUGCCUAUUUGGUAGAUUCAAUUAGGGCUAGCUCAAAGACUGGCUAAUCCCAAUCCGAUGGAUCAACUCUUUCGCGUCGCUUAACGACUUGUAACUCUGGCGAGUACCGAUGCUCCAAAUUGGAUUACCUAGCGCUUGGGUGAGAUGUUCGACAAGAGACUAAGGACUUUUUAGGUGGGAGUUCCAUCCGAGACGGACUGGAAUCACCGGCUCAUACUAGAAGCGGUGAACGGCAAGA